RNAcentral lists this ribosomal RNA (437 nucleotides) under uncultured bacterium. RNAcentral's name for it is "partial 16S ribosomal RNA". It matches the Rfam family "Bacterial small subunit ribosomal RNA", at positions 28 to 507 of the family's 1533-position model. The record is from RNAcentral.
GAUGAACGCUGGCGGCAUGCUUAACACAUGCCAGUCGAACGGGAAGUGGUGUUUCCAGUGGCGAACGGGUGAGUAACGCGUAAGAACCUGCCCUUGGGAGGGGAACAACAACUGGCAACGGUUGCUAAUACCCCGUAGGCUGAGGAGCAAAAGGAGAAAUCCGCCCAAGGAGGGGCUCGCGUCUGAUUAGCUAGUUGGUGAGGUAAUAGCUUACCAAGCCGAUGAUCAGUGGCUGGUCCGAGAGGAUGAUCAGCCACACUGGGACUGAGACACGGCCCAGACUCCGACGGGAGGCAGCAGUGAGGAAUUUUCCGCAAUGGGCGAAAGCCUGACGGAGCAAUGCCGCGUGGAGGUGGAAGGCCUACGGGUCGUCAACUUCUUUUCUCGGAGAAGAAACAAUGACGGUAUCUGAGGAAUAAGCAUCGGCUAACUCUGUG